UAGCGGCCGGCGGCGGAGGCGAUGGCGACCUCCCCGCCCAUGACCCUGUUCCCCGACUGGAACACCAGCUCCGCGCCCAGCGCCAGUCGCUUCGUCACCGACUGACAACAUACAUGUUGCAAGAAUGAUAGUAGAAAAAGAUAUCUUUUGACCACCUUCGUGGCCUAAUGGUCAUCAUGCCGGACUGCUACACUGGCUGGAGGUCCCGGGUUCGAUCCGGGUUUUCAGAUUGACCUGGAAUGGAGAUGUUUCAUAAAACCGGCGUCAAACGGGAAUAUAGUUUUCUUUUCUCAUCAAAUCAGACCGAUCAUUGACUUGUAGCAAAUGAGUUUAACAUUAAGGGCACUUCCAGUGGUAGCAACCUUUCUUAGUAACUGGAGGUGAGCUCCUGGACAUUAUAUCGCUUCAGUCUCUUUACAUAGCUGUUUAUAUCAUUAACAAAAUAUUUUUUCACCUGUAAA
Plodia interpunctella (Indianmeal moth) is the source of this 461-nucleotide long non-coding RNA. RefSeq lists it as uncharacterized. Lineage: Eukaryota; Metazoa; Arthropoda; Insecta; Lepidoptera; Pyralidae. The record is from RefSeq and is a predicted model, not a curated record. The transcript has 3 exons.